GAUGUACGUACUUGGUUCCCUUUCGCCUUCCAUCAUGAUGGAGGGACCAAAACAGAGCAUGGAUGCACACUGCCAAUAUAUCCGAACUCCCUGGAAAACUGCAGAGAUGCAGCGUGACCUCCACGGGAAAUGAAGGUAUCCGUCAGCUGAGUCCCAGCCUUCCAGCCAGAGCACCUUCUCCGUCACCCGUAGCUCUCACACGUAUGUCUUCUCUCCCCUGCUGGACUGUGAGUGCCCUCGUCUUUGACGGGAGCCAAGGCUACUCCGUCACUGGGGGCAAGUCCAAAAUGCUUUCAGAAAAAAUGCAUCCAUAAAGAAGAAAUGGCAAUGCAGGAUCAUUCCAAAGCAGUGUUGUAAAAAUAAGUGCAGUCUUUGCC
Molecule: long non-coding RNA, 377 nt
Filed under: Homo sapiens (human)
Lineage: Eukaryota; Metazoa; Chordata; Mammalia; Primates; Hominidae
Description: HSALNT0070185
Source: RNAcentral